AUUCCUGGAGGAGCGGUGAAAUGCGUAGAUUUCAGGGAGAACACCAAUGGCGAAAGCAGCUUUCUGGCCUAUUUCUGACGCUGAGGUACGUAAGCUAGGGUAGCGAACCGGAUUAGAUACCCGGGUAGUCCUAGCCGUAAACAAUGGACACUGGGCGUCAAACUUAAGUUUGGUGCCGUAGCUAACGCGUUAAGUGUCCCGCCUGGGAAGUACGGUCGCAAGACUGAAACUCAAAGGAAUUGACGGGGGCCUGCACAAGCGGUGGAGCAUGUGGUUUAAUUCGAUGCAACGCGAAGAACCUUACCUGGGUUUGACAUUCCAUUGACAGCUCUGGAAACAGAGUCUUCCUGUUUUUAUAACGGGACAAUGGAACAGGUGCUGCAUGGCUGUCGUCAGCUCGUGUCGUGAGAUGUUGGGUUAAGUCCCGCAACGAGCGCAACCCCUACACUUUGUUACCAGCGGGUAAUGCCGGGGACUCUAAGUGAACUGCCCAGAACAACUGGGAGGAAGGUGGGGACGACGUCAAGUCAUCAUGGCCCUUAUGUCCAGGGCUACACACGUGCUACAAUGGCUAGCACAAAGGGGAGCCAAUCCGCAAGGAUGAGCAAAUCCCAAAAAGUCAGCCUCAGUUCGGAUUGCAGGCUGCAAUUCGCCUGCAUGAAGGUGGAAUCGCUAGUAAUCGUGGGUCAGCAAUACCACGG
This 701-nucleotide ribosomal RNA is filed under the name uncultured bacterium. Its description in RNAcentral is "bacterial SSU rRNA". It matches the Rfam family "Bacterial small subunit ribosomal RNA", at positions 666 to 1362 of the family's 1533-position model. The record is from RNAcentral.